This 506-nucleotide ribosomal RNA is filed under the name Atractocerus brevicornis. RNAcentral's name for it is "partial 16S ribosomal RNA". It matches the Rfam family "Archaeal large subunit ribosomal RNA", at positions 1911 to 2669 of the family's 2987-position model. Lineage: Eukaryota; Metazoa; Arthropoda; Insecta; Coleoptera; Lymexylidae. The record is from RNAcentral.
GUCUUUUUGAUAAUAAUUUAAAGUCUGACCUGCCCAAUGAUUGAGUUGAAUGGCUGCAGUAUUUUGACUGUACAAAGGUAGCAUAAUCAUUAGUUUUUUAAUUGAAAGCUGGUAUGAAGGGUUUGAUGAGAAAUAAGCUGUCUCUGGGCUAAAAAUUUGAAUUUUAUUUUUAAGUAAAAAAGCUUAAAUAAGGGAAAAAGACGAGAAGACCCUAUAGAAUUUUAUAUAUAAAGAAUAUAAAAUUAAAGGUUAAAAUUUUUUUAUUUGGCGUAUAUUUGGUUGGGGUGAUAGAAAAAUUUAAAAAACUUUUUUUUAUUUUUAAUAUAAAUUUAUAGAAAAAUGAUCUUAAUUUUUAAAUUAAAAGAUUAAAUUACCUUAGGGAUAACAGCGUAAUUUUUUUUAAAGAUCUUAUUGAAUAAAGAGAUUGCGACCUCGAUGUUGGAUUAAAGUUAAAUUUUGGUGUAGAAGUUAAAAAUUUAAGUCUGUUCGACUUUUAAAACUUUACA